GAUGAACGCUGGCGGCGUGCCUAAUACAUGCCAGUCGAGCGAACAGACGAGGAGCUUGCUCCUCUGACGUUAGCGGCGGACGGGUGAGUAACACGUGGAUAACCUACCUAUAAUACUGGGAUAACUUCGGGAAACCGGAGCUAAUACCGGAUAAUAUAUUGAACCGCAUGGUUCAAUAGUGAAAGACGGUUUUGCUGUCACUUAUAGAUGGAUCCGCGCCGCAUUAGCUAGUUGGUAAGGUAACAGCUUACCAAGGCGACGAUGCGUAGCCGACCUGAGAGGGUGAUAGGCCACACUGGAAGUGAGACACGGUCCAGACUACUACGGGAGGCAGCAGUAGGGAAUCUUCGGCAAUGGGCGAAAGCCUGACGGAGCGACGCCGAGUGAGUGAUGAAGGUCUUCGGAUCGUAAAACUGUGUUAUUAGGGAAGAACAAAUGUGUAAGUAACUAUGCACGUCUUGACGGUACCUAAUCAGAAAGCCACGGCUAACUACGUG
Molecule: ribosomal RNA, 497 nt
Filed under: uncultured bacterium
Lineage: Bacteria
Description: partial 16S ribosomal RNA
Rfam family: Bacterial small subunit ribosomal RNA
Source: RNAcentral